GGAAGGCCACUGGGACUGUGCUGUCCUCUGCAGGCAGCUGUGGCCCAGGCAGAACCUCAUUGGCACUCAGGCAUUUUCUGGAAGCCAAGAAGAUAGAGGGAACAUCGCUGAGUCCAGGGAAUAGCAAAGCACUUUAUACAGAAGACUUAAUUGGUUUCUCUCUUUCUCUCUCUUAAAAAAAAAAAAAAAAAAAAGGUGUGAUUCACUUUUUCCUUCCCAGGAAAGGAAAUAGGGAAGGUCAGCAAAAGGAGAAAAGGAAAGGUUGGUAUUGGUGAAGUAACGGCAUUUUGGUUCUAAUGUGUGCACUUCAUUUGAGUGGAAACAGCGAACAGGUCUGUGCUGGGUGGGGGGCAGUCAGCCACCUUCCUGGAGGGGAGGAGCAGAGACCGCAGCCUGUGCUUCCGCAUCCAGGCCUCGCUGGCCUGCACUGCGUCCUGACCCUGGCUGUGCACUCUGGUGAGGGUGGUUUUGCACAGGCAGUGCUGAAGAGGAGGACAAAGGGUCUACAGAGGGGGCUGAGUUGUUCUGUUUGCUGAUUGACCUCUCCUCAAUCUUCACUCUAGGACCAACUGGUAUCUUGAGGGACCCUGAGCUGGGAGCCAGUCUCCACGCCCCUGCCUGGCUCUGCCCUGUGAACGCCAGAAAGGCAACGGUGUCCCGGAGAGAGCCUGUUGUAAGGGCCUCACACACACAGCACAUCUGAAUUCAGAGGGUACGACAGCAUCAGCCAUGUCAUCUCUGAUUAGGAAGGACAAGGCUGUGUGCACAUUAUCUGGCCUGGCGAGAGAGAGAACACCUUUUGGAUAUUUUUGCCUUUGAAAGUCAAUUCACAAGUUGGAGCCCAAUGCGGGGCCUGAACCCACGACCCUGAGAUCAAGACCUGAGCUGAGAUCAAGAGUUGGAUGCUCAACUGACUGAGUCAACCAGGUGCCUCUUAAUUUUCAUUUUAACUUCCAUUUAUUUCAAAAGGAAUCUAUAUUUCUCAUUUGACCAUAAAAG
Long non-coding RNA from Mirounga angustirostris (Northern elephant seal), 999 nucleotides. RefSeq lists it as uncharacterized. The record is from RefSeq and is a predicted model, not a curated record. Lineage: Eukaryota; Metazoa; Chordata; Mammalia; Carnivora; Phocidae. The transcript has 3 exons.